AGCGAACGCUGGCGGCAGGCUUAACACAUGCAAGUCGAGCGGGCACUUCGGUGUCAGCGGCAGACGGGUGAGUAACACGUGGGAACGUACCCUUCGGUUCGGAAUAACGCUGGGAAACUAGCGCUAAUACCGGAUACGCCCUCUUGGGGAAAGGUUUACUGCCGAAGGAUCGGCCCGCGUCUGAUUAGCUAGUUGGUGGGGUAAUGGCCUACCAAGGCGACGAUCAGUAGCUGGUCUGAGAGGAUGAUCAGCCACACUGGGACUGAGACACGGCCCAGACUCCUACGGGAGGCAGCAGUGGGGAAUAUUGAACAAUGGGCGCAAGCCUGAUCCAGCCAUGCCGCGUGAGUGAUGAAGGCCUUAGGGUUGUAAAGCUCUUUUGUCCGGGACGAUAAUGACGGUACCGGAAGAAUAAGCCCCGGCUAGCUUCGUG
This 433-nucleotide ribosomal RNA is filed under the name uncultured bacterium. RNAcentral describes it as "partial 16S ribosomal RNA". It matches the Rfam family "Bacterial small subunit ribosomal RNA", at positions 29 to 507 of the family's 1533-position model. The record is from RNAcentral.